AAAACAUACAAGCUUGAGUUGUAGCGCCAUCUACUGAGAAUGAUAACAUCUAGUUUAGCGGUUUCUUGGAGGUUUUUUGUUGAUUUUGCUUUAAGAAACUUUGUUUACGUAUAAUUCUCAAUUGAAUGUCUUCAAAUUGAACUUUUAAUUUCUCCUAUUAUUUGUAUUAAAUGUGUUAAUCAUCACAAAUUGUUAUUAUCCGGAAAAGUAAAGUGAAAAUUAAUGAUGAACAGUUUUCAAGUGAAGAUCAACAGACACAGCGAAAGCAAAAAGACUACCAAAGUGCGAAAGGAAAAAAAGUAGUCUAAGAAAGUGAACAAGCAACAUUUGUGUUGAACAAAAAAGUUUAAUUGAUAGUUUAAAUUGGUAAUUAUUGUCUUCAAUUGAUGUAGACUGUUCAACUUUAAUUACUAAGGUAACCUGUGAUUUUAAUGAUGAUGAUCUCCUUAUCCGUCUCAACGACAUUUCCUUCUUACCGUUACCAAUUUACUGUUAUUGAUUGUUUUUGUUACAAUUUUACAGUUUAACCAGCCUUACAACACUCUGAACGACUAAAAAAGUGAACACUUGGAUUUAUCUUUACGGGUUAACAAAAUGGUUAUUACAUUUUAAUUGUUACCUUCAGUUGACAUUUUGAUAUUUGCUGCCACCAUUAACCGUAUAUCUUACCAAUAUAGACAAUGUUAUGGUUAUGUUUUUUCUUACUUGUACGUUUUCCCGUUGAAAUCCCUUGAAAUCAUCAAUUUUUGAGAUUAACUCAUCAAUCAUUAUAUUAUAUUAUCUGUUCAAUAGUUAUGAAUUCAUGGGUACAUUUAUUAUGGUGGAAUCAUUUUUCAUUUUUUAUAAUUUCCAACAACAAAGAAACUGUCAAUUUUACAAUUGACAGGCUUUAGGUUAACCUUGAAAAAGCAACAUCAACAACCAAUGAUAAUCUCAUCUUUUCUGAUAAAACCUGAUUUGUAUUCAUCCAGGUAACAAUAUGCUUCAUCAUUGAUACAUUAUUUGGCUAAUCAAGAUUACAACAAAUUGUAAAUGCUGAACAGAAACAAUUGUGCAUAUUAAUAGAAAGGUGAGCUUCACAGAAGACGAUAAGAUUAGGACAAUUCACUGGCAACUUAUCAAUAUGAUUGAAACAAUAACUCGAGUAAAAACCAAGCCAGAGAGAUAGAGAAAGUUACUAGAGAAGGAGAGAGGAAAGAGUUAAUUGAUUGACAAGAACCUGGAAUUUUGUGAAGCCAAGAGAAAAACAAAAUCCAUGUUGACAUUGCUUUCAUUAACUGAUCAACUGAUCAGUUGGAUACACUUUUAAGGUCAACCAUUUACCUGACCCGGGACCGUUUUGCAUUUACCAUUGUAAUGACAAAGCCAUCGCUUUCGGAACCAUUCACUUCAAUCGAGCUGAUGGUUUCAAAAAUCUUGGAUCACUUACCUCAACCAUUUUAAUAUAUUCAGGUUGAGCCACAUUGAUUCAGCAAUUGUAUUCAUUCCAAUUCAAGUUAACUUUUCUUUUACUCUACAAUCUCUUUCGCUCUCUUCGCCAUCACUUCAUACUUAUCAUCCAAUGUCUUUGAGCUGCUCAUUUCUCAUAACGUCUUCUUCAAAUCAUCUUUUACACUCUCAUGGGACUUAUCAUUCUUCAGAGCAACAAAUCUCGGCUACAGCUGCAAAGAAAGAAGUACAAUUUUCCGACCAAGUUGUUCAACUUCACUCUAUGCUGAUACUUGCAAUUGACAUGAAAAUUUGCAUCAUCUGAAAACUGGUUGACAUAAAACCUUAAGGAGGAAAAUAGCGAAACUUGGAAGCAAAAAGAUGUUUAAAGUUAUGCUUUUUUGGCAACAUUUGGAUUAACCUUGGUUUCAUCUGGAUUCAGGAUUAAACGUAAUCUCAUUCAACAUUUUACACUUUGAAUGUGCAAUGACAAAGGAUUGGAAACUAUUUUUAAACUUGACUUGCAACUAGAAGCUGAUUUAGGAAUCAACUAAUUGGAAAUUUUGAUUGUUUUUACUCUGAAUCAAUUUAGAAACGAUCAAGAUGAACCUGCAAGACUCGGCAAUCAAUUGGUAAUAAAUUUUAUGGCCAACCAAGGUAGAACCAGAAUUAGAGUUCAUUAAUCAUCUUAAAAUGUUUAAUGAUGGUUGACCAAGAAGGACUGAUGAAACAAAAAUGGAAAGUUGAACAUAAAUUCAUUAUCAAAACAUCAUUUUUUGGAUCCCCAAAUUGGUUGAUGAUAAUACAUUGAUAACCUUUUCAACAAGGAUAGACCAGAAAGAUCAUGAGGAACUUCAGAAACAUGGAAAUGUUUAAACCACAAGAAAGUUGCUCGUUUUUUUGUGUGUUGCAGAAGCAAAAAAAAGUGAAAAGUGAAAAAAUGAAAAAAAAGUUGAUUACCUGAAUGUGUAUCAUUAAUAUAUCAUAUUGAAAGCAAAAUGUUUGACAGUUAUCAUUAUGGGAAAGCAAAAUGAUUAUGGAGUGAAGGUUGUUUAUCCGGCAUUUUUAAUCAGCCAACAUGUCAAAUUUAAUUUCAAUUUCAAUCAAAUAUUGUAAGUGCUUGAAAAGGUAAAGUCCAGGUGUGGAAGAGAGAAGGUAUAAUGAACCGUUGGUUGAACAAAAAAGAUUGGACUUUUAGUCAAAUAUUUUGUUACAUUUUUUAAUCUUUCAAAUAUGUGACUUUUGAUUCUUGUCAUGAAUGCAUUCAUGAGGAACAAAGUAAUGGACAAAAUUGUGAUGCAUGUUUUAUCGCUUGAAGACAAUGGCUAAGAUGGUUUAAAAGGUUUCCAUUAAGUAAACGACCAUUAUCCGAGUAAAACAACAGAGAUUAACAUGAAUGUAUUUAUGAGUUUUUGGCCUUUUACCUCUUGGAUCAAUCUUAGCUUAACAAAAAUCUGAAAUGCAAUCCGAUGUAAAUACCAGUUCGACAUCUUAAAAUUAAGAGUUAUAAAAAUGUUUAGAUUCA
This is a non-coding RNA of Tetranychus urticae (two-spotted spider mite), 2953 nucleotides long. Lineage: Eukaryota; Metazoa; Arthropoda; Arachnida; Trombidiformes; Tetranychidae. The record is from RefSeq and is a predicted model, not a curated record.